Molecule: long non-coding RNA, 5142 nt
Organism: Tympanuchus pallidicinctus (lesser prairie-chicken)
Lineage: Eukaryota; Metazoa; Chordata; Aves; Galliformes; Phasianidae
Exons: 3
Source: RefSeq, a predicted model, not a curated record
ACCUACACCAAAUAUUUGCUUCAAAAGAAAGGUUCUACAUAUUUUUGUUUUACUCCUCGAAUGGUUUGUAACUUUUGGUCAAAAGUCACAAAAUUGUACUUAGAGAAAUCUAAGCCAUAUCUGGCAAGAUGAAAUUAAUUUGAGCUGCGUGUUCCACUUUCAUUAGCAGUUUCUAUUUUUUCCCUUAUGUUAUCUGCUGACUAGAAAGUCUCCUGAUUAAUACCAUCCAAGUUCUUAAGUGCAUACAAUUGUACACCUUGUCACAGAACAAGCAGGAAAGGAGCCCUAUUUUUGUCCUCGCCUAUGUACUUACAAUUGCCUUUAAAAAAAAUGAGUAUUACAUAUUGGAUAACAGAGCUCCAGCUAGGAACAAAAAGACUUGUCACUGAGCUUACUGACCUAUGAGAAAAAGUACUGUGCAGAACUAAAAUCUGAAAGGAGAUCUCCCUGCCUUUAUCUCAUCCUUGCUCACUGUGGCUUCUGCAGAGUCAGUAGUGCACAGCCCAUCUCAGUCUCAGCCACACAUCUUGGCCUACCUACAUCCACGUACGUCUCUAUCCCACAGCUUAAUCCAUUUAACACAUGGUAGCACUCUCAACUUGGAAGCCUAACGAGUGCUUUGCUUACUUCCCUCACCUAAAGUAAAGGCCAUGUUGUAUUUUAAAUCAUAUGUAGUCAGUGAAGUACCACUUCUGUGACUAGUAGGCUUUCUCUACCUCCGGAAUAGAAGUUCAUCAUUAGAAGUAGGGUAGAUUUAGACUAGAUAGAGGGUAGAUUUAGACAAGGAUAGAUUAAGGCCAGGUAUUAGGACGAAAUUCUUUACUGUGAGAGUGAUAGAGACACUAGAACAGGUUACCCAGUGAGGCUGUGGAUGCUCUCACCUGGAGGCAUCCAAGGCCAGGCUGGACGGGGCUUUGAGCAGCCUGGUCUAGAGGGAGGUGUCCUGCCCAUAACAGGUAUUUGGAACUUAUGAUGAUCUUAAAGGUCCUUUCUAACCCAAACCAUUCUGUGAUUCUAUGAUUCUAUCUUCUUAUCUUUUAUGUUAACAGCAAAACUCACAGUGACUUCAGGAAAGGUGACCCUCAAGUUGGUAUGACUGCGUUUGUACAUGCCACUUUGACUUACUGAGGCUUAGCAUUCCUACCCAUGCAAUGAGGAAAAGAAAGCUUAACUUGUGAGCAAAGGCAGAAAGACAAGCUGUUCUCGUGUUCUGUGUCGUACAAGUAUGAGAAUGAAGAGGACGUUUCCUCUGGAAUACUGCUGAUGGUGGUAGUUCAGAAUAUAAUGAGCAUCUUCAGAGAAAUUACCGUUCUGAGUGUUCUACCAGCUGAACAGAAACCAUCAAGAUCUUGCCCAGAACUCUGUGCAGUCAGUGGAAAAAGUGCCAGUUCAGUGACUUUGUAUCUUAAUGUUUACUGCCUCUCAUUCUCUUAUGAUAAGCAAAAAUAAAGUCCAAUCUCCAACCCAAAGAACAAACCCAAAAGGAAACAUGAAACACUUUAUAAAAUUUUCUUUGUAAUAAUUGAAAAGGUACUCUAUGAAAAUAUUGAAAUUCUAUUUUGAAUAGGAUGCUUUAUAUACAAAACAUUUAAAAUAAAACUGCUUGCAUGAUUUUGUUGAAACCAAACUGUUCUAAAUAAUGUGUGAACUGAGUAAUUUCGCACACCUGUGAUGGAAAUUCAUGAAACCAUGACCUUGAGUCUGCUUCUGGGUUGGUUUUUUUUCCACCUUAACUGAGAAGGUUCAGAUACACACAACACCAAAAACUAUUUGAGUAUUUCAGAGGGUCUUUAACAGCCAGGGACUAUGAGCUAGAAAUGUAAAUGUUUCUUUUGAGUUCCAAAGGAAGCACAGUAAGAGUAUGGACUUCUUGUGGAUUUUGUGCUUGUCAAAUUGGAGCUGCACACCAAAAUACUGCAGUGUGUAAGAGCCCCGUAUGGUAGGCAUCCCAGUGAAGGAGAGAAUCCUAAGGCCUCCCAUAAUUCAGAUCAGCCAGACUGCAUGUGGCAACCACAUAGACAAGAAACCAUCAAGGAUGCAGAACUUCAUGUGUAGCUUUUCAUCAAAUACAUAAAUGGCAUAGCUUUAUUAUUUCCUCUUUUAAAUUAGUGUAAAACAUGUUCUAAGUGAGGCUCUGUCUUGCAAAGCACUACUGUUACUGACAUAGAGGUUAGGCAUCUGUACUCUUAAAAAAAAUAUUUGUUGCUUUUUCUCAGUGCUGUGUUAAAUCUCUAAAGGGAUACAAGAGUAGUUUUGACGUAGUAGUAAUUUUUGACAUUCAGAACUCAAAACUCUGGUGUUAAUAAAUUAGAAUACCCAGAAAAAUAGAAUAGAAUCACAGACCAGCACAGGUUGGAAAGGACUUUGGAAGAUCAUCAGGCCCAACCUUUAACAGAUGUCUGUAUGAUGAAUCUUAAAAAUCAGUAGUCUAGCAGUGAGUGCUAUCUUGCUUGUGUUCAAUAAGGAAAGAAUUUUUAUUUUUGUUAAAGUAUUUGAACAGCUGUUGCUGACUAUUUUAUGUGCUCUAAAAAGAAAGGGAGGAUACUGUAAUAGGACUGUGUUAGUUCUCUUGUAUAUUCAUUAACUGCUUUCCUGGACGCUGUCACACACACUGCAGAGCCCCCUGCUGUUAAGGGCCAUCCAAAAUAUUUUUGUAUGUUUUGCUGUGCCUGAAACUUCUCAGUUAAAAUGAAAAACAAAAUCCUGAAAUAUUUUCCAGGUUCUCAUUGCAUGAUUUAAUCUCAAUCCAGCAACAGAUCUGGAUGUUUUGCCUAUAUGAAACGCAACUGUGUUUUUGGCAACGGUCACGGUUUAUAGAAAAUAUAAACUUGUCUUUGUGUAUCUGUGGAGAAAGACCUCUGCUGGCAGCAGAUCGAUGUCGGCUGAAAGCAGUACACACAGCGAGAAGGUAAACAAAACUCACCCUGUGAGAGAUCAUUUAAAUACUGACGAGAAAAGGAACAUGGCAAGUUAGCCAAUUCAGUUGCUCUGCACACAGCAGAAGCCAUAACACAGGGAUGGAUGCUCACAAGUGCAGAAUAUCUUCUCACACUCUGUGUGGGAGCUGGACUUGAAGCAUCAAAUGGCUGUGGAGUCCAUAGGCAUGAAUGCUAAGAAUGAGAGAAAGAGUGGGAGAACAGAGAGGCCACAGAGCGCCGACAUGAGCUGUUAGGAAUGAGACUCAAGGAGGAGGGGUGGAAACAAAUCAAUAGGUCGUACUGUUCUAGGAAAGCAUUCUGCACGUGACAAAAUGUUUGGCUAUUUAUUCAUCAUACAAUAAUUGUUAGUAAGGAUGGAGUGGCAUGGCAAACUGAGAAUCUUUAGGGGACUUUCUAGGGCAUAAAUGUCAUUUAAUUCUGGGAAAUGACGUAGCAGAAGUCCAGCACUUUUCCUAUUGUUUAGAUCGUGACAGAUUGUGACAGUGGCAAUGUUACUGUAGUAGCACACUGCUGUCUGAGAACACCUACUGUGGUAGGUGUCUGCAGGAAGAGGAAUGUGCAUAUGAGAUUCCAAUAAGGAUUGUAUGUAUGCAGGAAGGAGACACUGGGCUGAGAAUUGGGAAAACUAGAUUGAACAAAACUGUACACUGUAUAUCUUACAUUUAUCUAUGAGAGAUAAAGUUAAUACUUAGAUAUGUUCAUUGUGAUUUAAAAUGCAGCAUGUAGAAAACUACCCUGAGCAUAUUUGUGUAGAGAUGAUAAUCAGAGUUCAGCCAUUAGUGUUGAACUACUUUUAAUAUUUAGGACUUUAAAACUCUUCUAGAUACAUUUUUACCAUAUGCACUAUGUAUUAUGAAUGGAUUUUUGUUUGCCUGCAAUUCAUAGCACUCAUCCAUUCCAGCACUGCUUUCAUAACAUGAAGCGAGCAUUACACCUGAAGUCUAACUGCUCUUUGAUGCUGUGGUGUAAAUCCUGGUUGCAGAACAGUUUAACAAGCGUCUUCUCUCUUUUACUUUAUGUGAGUAGUUUAAAUUCAAAACACUCAAAUUAUGUUAUUGUCUUUAAAAUAAAAUACAAUGCAGUUGAGACCUGUUAGAUCUGCCAGCAUUUGUUUUAUCAACCAAAGUAAAAAAAAUCUUCUGUGCUGCAACAAUGUGAAAGCUUCUGCUGGAACCAAAUGUGGCACGUAGGACUUCUGGUGGAAAACAAGUAGAAAACCACGUAUCAAACAGAGCCUUCUGGUGAUUUAAAACUUGUAGCAGUUCUACAGGUAAUCAAUUCUUUUAAGAAGAAUGCAAAACAACAACAAAGAAACAGUACAGUUGGUCUAUUACUGGAGUAUAUAUUUUUAGUGUCUUUAUUUCAUUUACAUAUAUGAAUGAAUAUAUAAAGAUCUAUUUAUAUAAAAAUGUGAAAUCCAAUACAGUAAGUACAGUAUGUUGUACAAAUAUGGAUCAUAAUCUAAUGCAUUUAGGUGGCUCGUGGUGGCUUCGUGGAGUCCCUUUCCAACGCAAGGUCUGCCCCUCUCCAGUAGGAUGUUUUGAGAUGGCUUUUCCUUCUUCAGAGCGGUUGCUAAAGAAAGGGUGUAGGAGUAUGGAAAAAGUGGGAAAGUGGACCUUAAACAGUUUACUGGUGAUUUUAACCCUCCAUUUUCCUUGUUUUGCAUGUGAAAAACAGCAUAGGACCAGAGCUGUAUUGCUGUUUUGGCUAGGAGCUCUCUUUGGGGAGCUGCCCUGAUAAUUACAGAGAUAAACUGUCAACAACAAAAGUGGGUAAAUGAUUGUAAGUGACUGUGCUUGGACCUGGAACUGCAACCUUCCUCUUCAAACGGCUGACUGAGACAUCUCUACUCCUUGGGUCAUGGUUAGCAUGAAAUUAAAAAUGAAAUUAAAAAUUUAAAUAAGAAUUUUUUUUUACCCUGAAAUUGUUACCUGUGAACUUUGUCAUAUGAGAAGGUUAAUUGUCAGGAUUACUGAAAGGAAUCACAUUUCCAAUGCUUAAGGUGGGAAUGCACCUCCUUACUGUUAUGAUGUUAUGUAAAUUCCCUAUGUUAUCUCCUAAAUAUUCUGAUUUUCCUUAGUAUAGAUAGAUAAAAUUGGUUUCUCUGUGCUGAUUAGAGGACAUUUCAUUUUUUACUGUGUUUAUGUUACACACAGCAAUAAUGUUGCUUAGAAACCUGUAAUAAAAGCACAUUGCUGAUGUA